AGUGAACGCUGGCGGUAGGCCUAACACAUGCAAGUCGAACGGCAGCACAGUAAGAGCUUGCUCUUACGGGUGGCGAGUGGCGGACGGGUGAGGAAUACAUCGGAAUCUACUUUUUCGUGGGGGAUAACGUAGGGAAACUUACGCUAAUACCGCAUACGACCUACGGGUGAAAGCAGGGGAUCUUCGGACCUUGCGCGAUUGAAUGAGCCGAUGUCGGAUUAGCUAGUUGGCGGGGUAAAGGCCCACCAAGGCGACGAUCCGUAGCUGGUCUGAGAGGAUGAUCAGCCACACUGGAACUGGAACACGGUCCAGACUCCUACGGGAGGCAGCAGUGGGGAAUAUUGGACAAUGGGCGCAAGCCUGAUCCAGCCAGACCGCGUGGGUGAAGAAGGCCUUCGGGUUGUAAAGACCUUUUGUUGGGAAAGAAAAGCAGCAGGUUAAGACCCCGCUGUUCUGACGGUACCCAAAGAAUAAGCACCGGCUAACUUCGUG
RNAcentral lists this ribosomal RNA (492 nucleotides) under uncultured bacterium. Its description in RNAcentral is "partial 16S ribosomal RNA". It matches the Rfam family "Bacterial small subunit ribosomal RNA", at positions 29 to 507 of the family's 1533-position model. The record is from RNAcentral.